Molecule: ribosomal RNA, 1505 nt
Filed under: metagenome
Description: bacterial LSU rRNA
Rfam family: Bacterial large subunit ribosomal RNA
Source: RNAcentral
UUAGAUCGGAAGCGAGAAUGUUGACAUGAGUAGCGACAAACAGGGUGAGAAACCCUGUCGCCGAAAGUCCAAGGGUUCCUGCUUAAAGCUAAUCUGAGCAGGGUAAGCCGGCCCCUAAGGCGAGGCCGAAAGGCGUAGUCGAUGGGAACCAGGUUAAUAUUCCUGGGCCAGUGGGAUGUGACGGAUCGCAGAUGUAGUUUGCCCUUAUCGGAUUGGGUGGGCUGCUGAGCGGUUCCUGGAAAUAGCCCCACAUCAGACCGUACCCUAAACCGACACAGGUGGACUGGUAGAGUAUACCAAGGCGCUUGAGAGAACCACGUUAAAGGAACUCGGCAAAAUGCCUCCGUAAGUUCGCGAGAAGGAGGCCCCAUAUGUGCGCAAGCAUGUGUGGGGGGCACAAACUAGGGGGUGGCGACUGUUUACUUAAAACACAGGGCUGUGCGAAGCCGUAAGGCGACGUAUACAGUCUGACGCCUGCCCGGUGCUGGAAGAUUAAGAGGAGGGGUGCAAGCUCUGAAUUGAAGUCCCAGUAAACGGCGGCCGUAACAAUAACGGUCCUAAGGUAGCGAAAUUCCUUGUCGGGUAAGUUCCGACCUGCACGAAUGGCGUAACGAUCUCCCCGCUGUCUCUAACGUGGACUCAGCGAAAUUGAACUGUCUGUCAAGAUGCAGACUACCCGCGGUUAGACGGAAAGACCCCAUGAACCUUUACUCCAGCUUUGCAUUGGCAACAGGACUGUGAUGUGCAGGAUAGGUGGUAGGCAUUGAAGCGGGGACGCCAGUCUUCGUGGAGCCUCCCUUGAGAUACCACCCUUCGCCGUCUUGUUGUCUAACCGCGACCCGUUAUCCGGGCCCGGGACCGUGCAUGGUGGGGAGUUUGACUGGGGCGGUCGCCUCCCAAAUUGUAACGGAGGCGCGCGAUGGUUGGCUCAGACCGGUCGGAAAUCGGUCGUUGAGUGCAAUGGCAGAAGCCAGCCUGACUGCAAGACUGACAAGUCGAGCAGAGACGAAAGUCGGUCAUAGUGAUCCGGUGGUCCCAAGUGGGAGGGCCAUCGCUCAACGGAUAAAAGGUACUCUGGGGAUAACAGGCUGAUGAUGCCCAAGAGUCCAUAUCGACGGCAUCGUUUGGCACCUCGAUGUCGGCUCAUCUCAUCCUGGGGCUGGAGCAGGUCCCAAGGGUACGGCUGUUCGCCGUUUAAAGAGGUACGUGAGCUGGGUUUAGAACGUCGUGAGACAGUUCGGUCCCUAUCUGCCGUGGGUGCAGGAGACUUGAGAAGAGUUGACCCUAGUACGAGAGGACCGGGUUGAACGAACCACUGGUGGACCAGUUAUCGUGCCAACGGUAGUGCUGGGUAGCUAUGUUCGGACAGGAUAACCGCUGAAGGCAUCUAAGCGGGAAGCCCCCUUCAAAACAAGGUCUCCCUUGAGGGCCGUGGAAGACGACCACGUCGAUAGGCCAGAGGUGUAAGCGCAGCAAUGCGUUCAGCUGACUGGUACUAAUUGCCC